AAGUCGUAACAAGGUUUCCGUAGGUGAACCUGCGGAAGGAUCAUCAACAAAUCUAUUAAAAAGGUUUUGGGGUAAAACCCACCUUUUUUUAACCAAUGUGAAUAGAAAAAAGAUGAAAAUCUUUUUUCGAAAUAUUAACGAGUAAAAAAAAAAGAGUCUGUUUUUAAAAAAAAACAAAAUUAUUUAUAACUUUUAACAAUGGAUCUCUUGGCUCUU
RNAcentral lists this unclassified non-coding RNA (216 nucleotides) under fungal sp. RNAcentral's name for it is "partial internal transcribed spacer region". The stretch from base 1 to 46 matches the Rfam family "Eukaryotic small subunit ribosomal RNA", at positions 1786 to 1831 of the family's 1831-position model. Lineage: Eukaryota; Fungi. The record is from RNAcentral.